Long non-coding RNA from Oncorhynchus tshawytscha (Chinook salmon), 1671 nucleotides. NCBI's taxonomy places the organism in Eukaryota, Metazoa, Chordata, Actinopteri, Salmoniformes, Salmonidae. The record is from Ensembl.
UUGACUUAUUCAGAUAAGACCAACAGUGGCUCAGUGUUGACUUAUUCAGAUAAGACCAACAGAGACUCAGUGUUGACUUAUUCAGAUAAGACCAACAGUGGCUCAGUGUUGACUUAUUCAGGUAAGACCAACAGAGACUCAGUGUUGACUUAUUCAGAUAAGACCAACAGAGACUCAGUGUUGACUUAUUCAGAUAAACUGCUGCCCCAAAGGAAGAGUCUAAAACAUUUGUUGUAAUUCCAAUAACUUAUUGCAAUGGCACACAAAAUUAUAAUUAAGGCACAAUCAAAAAUCAAAAAUAAUACAAAAUGAAUAUACCAAAAAAAAACGUUAAAAACUUUAACGUUUUAAAGCCACAAGCAAAUUAAUUAGAAAUAUAUUUCAACCUGGGUAAAAAUCUAUCCUUGCGAGCCACUGAUCUCGCUGUACGGAAGAGCAUAUUUAUUUAAUCUCGCAAGAUCCGUGUGGCUUCUGAAACGAGGGAAUGUCCAGCGGAGAAACAUCAGACGAGCGCACAGCAUUUCUUACACAUUAUGGCAAAGAACGAGGUUAAUACUUUUAAAAAACUCAAUAUGAUUUACAUUUUCAAGGCUAACGGUUUCUCUGAAAGAGCCAUCAUUGAACAAAUGCCCCCCCCCCCCCCAAAACACAAUGUGCACAAAAACAUUACUCUACUAAAAGUGUACACAUUAAUUAACAUAACUAGGAUUCUCUGUUGUUCUGUAUCAGUAGUAUCAAAAUAGAAGGAGAAAUUAGUUAGAGAAUUUAGAGGAGUUAGAGGAUUUAGAGAGCCGAUGGGGAUUAGAGUUAGAGGAUUUAGAGGAGUUAGAGGCCCUAUGGGGAUUAGAGUUAGAGGAUUUAGAGGAGUAAGAGGCCCUAUGGGGAUUAGAGUUAGAGGAUUUAGAGGAGUAAGAGGCCCUAUGGGGAUUAGAGUUAGAGGAUUUAGAGGAGUUAGAGGAUUUAGAGCAUUUAGAGGAGUUAGAGACCCUAUGGGGAUUAGAGUUAGAGGAUUUAGAGAGCCGAUGGGGAUUAGAGUUAGAGGAUUUAGAGGAGUUAGAGGCCCUAUGGGGAUUAGAGUUAGAGGAUUUAGAGGAGUAAGAGGCCCUAUGGGGAUUAGAGUUAGAGGAUUUAGAGGAGUAAGAGGCCCUAUGGGGAUUAGAGUUAGAGGAGUUAGAGGAUUUAGAGCAUUUAGAGGAGUUAGAGGCUCUAUGGGGAUUAGAGUUAGAGGAUUUAGAGGAGUUAGAGGCCCUAUGGGGAUUAGAGUUAGAGGAUUUAGAGGAGUUAGAGGCCCUAUGGGGAUUAGAGUUAGUGGAUUUAGAGAGGCUAUGGGGAUUAGAGUUAGAGGAUUUAGAGGAUUUAAAGGUGUUAGAGGAUUUAGAGGAUUUAGAGGAGUUAGAAGAUUUAGAGGAUUUAGAGGAUUUAGAGGAGUGGGCCGCUAUCUUGGAGGAACAGUAAGUACUACUGUGAAGCUCAUGUCUACAGGGCAGGAGAAGACAUGAGCCUCACGUCAAUUAGCGUCAUCAUUUGUUUUGUUGUUAGGCCUGAUCAGGUUUGAUAGCCUGUACAUUACAUUUAAUGGAGUCAAAAUGCCAGAAUUACAUGCAAUUGUCCAAUUUUCAUAUUCUGAAUCCUCACCCAGACUUUUAUGGGGAGGUAGGGAGGGAGGGAGGG